RNAcentral lists this non-coding RNA (204 nucleotides) under Alphaproteobacteria bacterium. The record is from RNAcentral. Lineage: Bacteria; Pseudomonadati; Pseudomonadota; Alphaproteobacteria.
UAACGAGAAGUAAUCGACGGUCCUCCUUAACCGGAGGCGAACAGGGAAUGCCGUGCCGCUCCCUCCAGGAGCCAAUCGGCAGCUGUACCCGCAGCUGUAAGCGGCGAGCGACUGCCCACCAUGUCACUGGAUCAGGUGAUCCGGGAAGACGGGCAGGAGCGGUGACCCGUGAGCCAGAAGACCUGCCGGCGAUAGCGUCGCUCU